CGACGCUGGCGGCACGCUUAACACAUGCAAGCUCGAACGAAGGCCCAGAGCUUGCUCCGGUUACCUUAGUGGCGGACGGGUGAGUAACGCGUGGGAAUCUACCUUGCGAUGGGGGAUAACAGUUGGAAACGACUGCUAAUACCGCAUACGCCCUUAGGGGGAAAGGCUUCGGCCGUCGCUAGAGGAUCCCGCGUUCGAUUAGCUAGUUGGUAGGGUAAUGGCUUACCAAGGCAACGAUCGAUAGCUGGUCUGAGAGGAUGAUCAGCCACACUGGAACUGAGACACGGUCCAGACUCCUACGGGAGGCAGCAGUGGGGAAUAUUGGACAAUGGGGGAAACCCUGAUCCAGCGAUGCCGCGUGAGUGAAGAAGGCCCUAGGGUUGUAAAACUCUUUCACCCGUGAAGAUGAUGACUGUAGCGGGAGAAGAAGCUCCGGCUAACUCCGUGCCAGCAGCCGCGGUAAUACGGAGGGGGCUAGCGUUGCUCGGAAUUACUGGGCGUAAAGCGCGCGUAGGCGGUGAAUCUAGUCAGGCGUGAAAGCCCAGGGCUUAACCCUGGAAUUGCGUUUGAUACUGGUUUACUAGAAUUCGAGAGAGGGUAGUGGAAUUUCCAGUGUAGAGGUGAAAUUCGUAGAUAUUGGAAAGAACACCAGUGGCGAAGGCGGCUAUCUGGCUCGAUAUUGACGCUGAGGUGCGAAAGCGUGGGGAGCGAACGGGAUUAGAUACCCCGGUAGUCCACGCCGUAAACGAUGAGUGCUAGUUGUUGGGCAGCUUGCUGUUCAGUGACGCAGCUAACGCGUUAAGCACUCCGCCUGGGGAGUACGGCCGCAAGGUUAAACUCAAAGGAAUUGACGGGGGCCC
This 860-nucleotide ribosomal RNA is filed under the name uncultured bacterium. RNAcentral's name for it is "bacterial SSU rRNA". It matches the Rfam family "Bacterial small subunit ribosomal RNA", at positions 31 to 922 of the family's 1533-position model. The record is from RNAcentral.